GAUGAAGAACGCAGUGAAAUGCGAUACUUGGUGUGAAUUGCAGAAUCCCGUGAACCAUCGAGUCUUUGAACGCAAGUUGCGCCCGAAGCCAUCAGGUUGAGGGCACGUCUGCCUGGGCGUCACAUAUCGUUGCCCAAUGCCUAUUGCAGUGCAAUAGGAAUUUCUAGGGCGAAUGAUGGCUUCCCGUGAGCGUUGUUGCCUCGCGGUUGGUUGAAAAUCGAGUCCUUGGUAGGGUGUGCCAUGGUAGAUGGUGGUCGAGUUAGAACGAUACCGAUCAUGUGCAUGCUCCCCAAAAUAUGGCCUCUAUGACCCACACGCGUCUUUUGACGCUCAUGACGAGACCUCAGGUCAGGCGGGGCUACCAGCUGAAUUUAAGCAUAUCAAUAAGCGGAGGA
This 395-nucleotide unclassified non-coding RNA is filed under the name soil metagenome. RNAcentral describes it as "partial contains 5.8S ribosomal RNA, internal transcribed spacer 2, and large subunit ribosomal RNA". The stretch from base 1 to 122 matches the Rfam family "5.8S ribosomal RNA", at positions 35 to 154 of the family's 154-position model. The record is from RNAcentral.